This 433-nucleotide ribosomal RNA is filed under the name uncultured bacterium. RNAcentral's name for it is "partial 16S ribosomal RNA". It matches the Rfam family "Bacterial small subunit ribosomal RNA", at positions 29 to 507 of the family's 1533-position model. The record is from RNAcentral.
AACGAACGCUGGCGGCAUGCCUAACACAUGCAAGUCGAACGAGACCUUCGGGUCUAGUGGCGCACGGGUGCGUAACGCGUGGGAAUCUGCCCUUCGGUUGGGAAUAACUGAGAGAAAUUUCAGCUAAUACCUUAUAAUGUCUUCGGACCAAAGAUUUAUCGCCGAGGGAUGAGCCCGCGUAGGAUUAGGUAGUUGGUGGGGUAAUGGCCUACCAAGCCGACGAUCCUUAGCUGGUCUGAGAGGAUGAUCAGCCACACUGGGACUGAGACACGGCCCAGACUCCUACGGGAGACAGCAGUGGGGAAUAUUGGACAAUGGGCGAAAGCCUGAUCCAGCAAUGCCGCGUGAGUGAUGAAGGCCUUAGGGUUGUAAAGCUCUUUUACCCGGGAUGAUAAUGACAGUACCGGGAGAAUAAGCUCCGGCUAACUCCGUG